RNAcentral lists this ribosomal RNA (549 nucleotides) under uncultured bacterium. RNAcentral's name for it is "bacterial SSU rRNA". It matches the Rfam family "Bacterial small subunit ribosomal RNA", at positions 355 to 896 of the family's 1533-position model. The record is from RNAcentral.
UGGGGAAUAUUGGACAAUGGGCGAAAGCCUGAUCCAGCCAUGCCGCGUGUGUGAAGAAGGUCUUCGGAUUGUAAAGCACUUUAAGUUGGGAGGAAGGGCAGUAAGUUAAUACCUUGCUGUUUUGACGUUACCAACAGAAUAAGCACCGGCUAACUUCGUGCCAGCAGCCGCGGUAAUACGAAGGGUGCAAGCGUUAAUCGGAAUUACUGGGCGUAAAGCGCGCGUAGGUGGUUCAGCAAGUUGGAUGUGAAAUCCCCGGGCUCAACCUGGGAACUGCAUCCAAAACUACUGAGCUAGAGUACGGUAGAGGGUGGUGGAAUUUCCUGUGUAGCGGUGAAAUGCGUAGAUAUAGGAAGGAACACCAGUGGCGAAGGCGACCACCUGGACUGAUACUGACACUGAGGUGCGAAAGCGUGGGGAGCAAACAGGAUUAGGUACCCUGGUAGUCCACGCCGUAAACGAUGUCGACUAGCCGUUGGGAUCCUUGAGACCUUAGUGGCGCAGCUAACGCGAUAAGUCGACCGCCUGGGGAGUACGGCCGCAAGGUUA